Molecule: ribosomal RNA, 440 nt
Filed under: uncultured bacterium
Lineage: Bacteria
Description: partial 16S ribosomal RNA
Rfam family: Bacterial small subunit ribosomal RNA
Source: RNAcentral
CCUACGGGGGGCAGCAGUGGGGAAUAUUGGACAAUGGGGGAAACCCUGAUCCAGCGACGCCGCGUGAGUGAAGAAGGAUCUCGGGAUGUAAAGCUCUAUCAGCAGGGAAGAAAAUGACGGUACCUGACUAAGAAGCCCCGGCUAACUACGUGCCAGCAGCCGCGGUAAUCCGUAGUGGGCAAGCGGUAUCCGGAGUUACUGGGUGAAAAGGGAGCGUAGAGGGUGCAGAAAGUCUGAUGUGAAAGGUCGGGGCCCAACCCCGGGACUGCAUUGGAAACUGUUGAACUGGAGUACAGGAGAGGUAAGCGGCAUUCCUAUUGUAGCGGUGAAAUGCGUAGAUAUUAGGAGGAACACCAGUGGCGAAGGCGGCUUACUGGCCUGUAACUGACGUUGAGGCUCGAAAGCGUGGGGAGCAAACAGGAUUAGAUACCCCGGUAGUC